Myiozetetes cayanensis is the source of this 204-nucleotide long non-coding RNA. RefSeq lists it as uncharacterized. Lineage: Eukaryota; Metazoa; Chordata; Aves; Passeriformes; Tyrannidae. The record is from RefSeq and is a predicted model, not a curated record. The transcript has 4 exons.
UGUCCCUGAUGGGUGUCCCAGGUGGGUGUCCCUGUCCCAGGUGGGUGUCCCUGUCCCAGGUGGGUGUCCCAGGUGGGUGUCCCUGUCCCAGGUGGGUGUCCCUGUCCCAGGUGGGUGUCCCAGGUGGGUGUCCCUGUGUCCCCUGACCCCCCUGUGUCCCAGGUGGGUGUCCCUGUGUCCCAGGUGGGUGUCCCUGUGUCCCCU